Lupinus albus (white lupine) is the source of this 85-nucleotide non-coding RNA. The record is from the annotation of a GenBank genome assembly. NCBI's taxonomy places the organism in Eukaryota, Viridiplantae, Streptophyta, Magnoliopsida, Fabales, Fabaceae.
GAGCUGUGAGGAUACUUGUGCUUUGUGUGAUGGAUUGGGUCUAUCACUACAUCUUCAAAGAUGAAUUAUAAGUGCAACUGAGCUC